Long non-coding RNA from Bombus terrestris (buff-tailed bumblebee), 1175 nucleotides. RefSeq lists it as uncharacterized. The record is from RefSeq and is a predicted model, not a curated record. The transcript has 4 exons. NCBI's taxonomy places the organism in Eukaryota, Metazoa, Arthropoda, Insecta, Hymenoptera, Apidae.
UCUUCAAAUCUUCGCUCAAAAAAGAUAAAAGCAAGAAAAGAAAAAGCAAGUAUAAUUCGUAUAAAAUUACUUCUUGUCUAUGAAAAACCACUAAAUCUGUUUGUAACAGCUCUGUGGCAGAUUUGUGCCCGGCAAAGCAUCCUCGUAGCAUUUAUAUGAAAUAAUGACGUCAAACGUAACCACGCUAAUCGUACAAUGACGUUCUAUGGCAAGUGAUAACCAACCUGGUAAACCAGUAACAUCGAUGCAUCCUCGAGUACGUGUUUUUUUAAAAACAGGAAUCCACCAAACGGGGGUGAAACGUGACGUUGACUAAGAGGCAUGCUCACGUCAAUCCUGAUCAAACAGUGGCAAUUCUUCGUCGUUUGUCUCACCUGCUACGUAGAAAAGUGUUUGAUGUUCAAUUAACGAUCGCUGAUUGUGCUGCACUAUGAUUCAUUUUACGCGGAAGUUGAUUACACGCCAUGGCUAUGAAAUUACGCAACAAACCACUAGAAGAAUUUGUGCCUCAACGAUACACACUUUAUUCAGUAGAAGAACGUGGUUCAUUUAUACGUAUCAAAUGAUCGUUUACUAGAUGGGAAAUUACGAGCCUCUUGUGGAGCCAUGUAAAAUGAGAUUAGAGAUUCAGAGUACCAGUUCCAUGGAACUAAAAGUAAAAGAUUGGUCUGAUUCGGCCUCCUCGUUCACGGUUUCGCUGCUUUCGGUAGUAGUUUCACUUUUAGAUCUGAAAGAAAUCACCAGAUGAGGGUAUUUCGUGGCUGCUGGGAAGACAAGUACGAGAAAUAAAGAAAACAAGCACAAGGCAAAACGGAUUAGUAAUAGACCAGAUCUGUUAGAGACACGAGGAUUGAGUUAGAUCUGUUAGUAUAUGGGAAUUGGUCGACUCGAUUUCACUCAUACCAAUCUUCCCGGAUGGAAUUGUUAGGUGAAACAUUCUGUUGAGGGAACCGUUCGACAGGUUUCGGAACGAGAAUGCUCGGUGAACGUGUGAUGAACGCCUUCAUCACGAUUGAUCAUUAACGACGAAAGACACUAAACUAAUCUGAAAGGAAUUUUAAUCUUCGGUUAACUCGUCGAUUACAACUGUUAUAAAUAAACUACGGAUGCAUAUUUCAUAUUUUUGUAAUUAAAGAAAUGAAAUCUAGAUAAAAACUAGUUUUACCUACUAUAGA